UUCCUAAGAACUGCUCCUGGACACAGUGUUCUAUGUUGACAUGUCUUACAUUUUAUUGUGUCGCCUAUUUGUAUAGUUACUCGGAUCUUACAUUCUGUAUUUUUGUCAAUGCAGGUGUGUUCUUCCUACUAUAAAGCAACAUGGAUUUCUUUAAAUUAAAUUGUGCAUAUUGUGGAAAAUAAAUCUUGUGUGUCUAUAGUCAUGUUCAUGUAUGUUCUGAACUGAGACAAAUAUUCUUCAUUGUCUAUGCUUUUCCCUUCUGUUAAUGAUGUUAGUGCAGCUCUCCAUCUUAUUAAUUCCUUACCCAUUCACUUGAAAUAUUGCCUAAAUAUUAUUAUUUUUGUUGUUGGUUUAGCAGUGUGACUUAGAUCUUCUACAUUGCCCAUAGAGAAUCUUCAAAAGUGUAGUCAUAUAGAGAAUCUUCAAAAGUGUAGUCAUAUAUGUCACUUGAUAACUUCCAGCACAUUAAUCUAUACUGUUCCUAUGCGUUUCAGUUGUCACCAAUCCAUGGUGAAAUAAACAGGAGAAUACAUGCUUGCAGAAGUUGUCAAGAGGCUCCAUUUAACCAUCAAAGACCAUGAGACCUACCAAUCCAGUGAUAGAGAUGGACACAAUCUCUCCUUGUGGAAGAACAAUGUAUCAAUUGCCAACAAACCAAACAUUUCAUCCUAUCUU
This 675-nucleotide long non-coding RNA is filed under the name Triticum aestivum (bread wheat). RNAcentral's name for it is "long non-coding RNA (TAES_LNC021943)". The record is from RNAcentral. Lineage: Eukaryota; Viridiplantae; Streptophyta; Magnoliopsida; Poales; Poaceae.